GCCUUCGUGGCGUAGCUGGUUAUCGCGUGAGUCUCAUACAAACUAUGUAUGACCUAGCCAACAGGCCGGGCAAUCUCAAGGUCAUGAGUUCGAACCUCAUCGAGGGCA
This 108-nucleotide transfer RNA is filed under the name Cordyceps fumosorosea ARSEF 2679. RNAcentral describes it as "Isaria fumosorosea ARSEF 2679 tRNA". It matches the Rfam family "tRNA". From Rfam's summary of the family: Transfer RNA (tRNA) molecules are approximately 80 nucleotides in length. Their secondary structure includes four short double-helical elements and three loops (D, anti-codon, and T loops). The record is from Rfam by way of RNAcentral. Lineage: Eukaryota; Fungi; Ascomycota; Sordariomycetes; Hypocreales; Cordycipitaceae.